This 397-nucleotide ribosomal RNA is filed under the name uncultured bacterium. RNAcentral describes it as "partial 16S ribosomal RNA". It matches the Rfam family "Bacterial small subunit ribosomal RNA", at positions 338 to 732 of the family's 1533-position model. The record is from RNAcentral.
CCUACGGAGGGCAGCAGUGAGGAAUAUUGGUCAAUGGUCGGGAGACUGAACCAGCCAAGCCGCGUGAGGGAGGAAGGUACAGAGUAUCGUAAACCUCUUUUGUCAGGGAACAAAGACUGGGACGCGUCCCCGGAUGAGUGUACCUGAAGAAAAAGCAUCGGCUAACUCCGUGCCAGCAGCCGCGGUAAUACGGAGGAUGCGAGCGUUAUCCGGAUUGACUGGGCUUAAAGGGUGCGCAGGGGGUUUGGUAAGUUAGCGGUGAAAGGCCGGGGCUCAACCCCGGCCCGCCCGGUAAAACUAGUAGACUCGAGUGGAGGAGGGGUAAGCGGAAUGCGCAGUGUAGCGGUGGAAUGCGUAGAUAUCAGGAGGAACAUCAGGGGCGAAGGCGACUUACCGG